RNAcentral lists this ribosomal RNA (366 nucleotides) under Triticum aestivum (bread wheat). Its description in RNAcentral is "partial small subunit ribosomal RNA". The record is from RNAcentral. Lineage: Eukaryota; Viridiplantae; Streptophyta; Magnoliopsida; Poales; Poaceae.
AUGAACUGGACGACAAUGGCCACUUUGAAGCAAAUGACGAGGAGGGAGAGGGCAAAGCUUCCCCCCCCACCCGCACAACCGAUGCACAAGGUCGAGAUCCUCCUCUGGGCGAUGGAGCAGGCCGAUUCGUCCAGCCCGUGGACCAGGCGUAGGUGGUGGGCGUUCAGAUCCAGGGUAGAGCAUCCACUGGAUCAGGAACCCACGGUGCACGAGGUGCCGUUGCAGAUUGUGGAGCCUCCAACCGAGUCGGAGAUGACUCAGAAGCGCAAGAGGAGGAGGACAGUGGUCGCGACAUCGCUUCCCUGCCGUUCUCCACGCUUCCCUCGCCGCUCUCCUCGUCUGAACGGCGGCCGUAGCUAUGUUUAG